RNAcentral lists this ribosomal RNA (589 nucleotides) under uncultured Acidobacteriota bacterium. Its description in RNAcentral is "bacterial SSU rRNA". It matches the Rfam family "Bacterial small subunit ribosomal RNA", at positions 329 to 915 of the family's 1533-position model. The record is from RNAcentral. Lineage: Bacteria; Pseudomonadati; Acidobacteriota.
CAGGUCACUCCUACGGGAGGCAGCAGUGGGGAAUCUUGCGCAAUGGCCGCAAGGCUGACGCAGCGACGCCGCGUGGGGGAGGAAGGCCUUCGGGUUGUAAACCCCUGUUGCCCGGGACGAACGAGUGGUUUCGACCACUGUGACGGUACCGGGUGAGGAAGCACCGGCUAACUCCGUGCCAGCAGCCGCGGUAAUACGGGGGGAGCAAGCGUUGUUCGGAUUUACUGGGCGUAAAGGGCGCGUAGGCGGCCACCGCAAGUCGACUGUGAAAUCUCCGGGCUUAACCCGGAAAGGUCAGCCGAUACUGCGGGGCUAGAGUGCAGAAGGGGCAACUGGAAUUCUCGGUGUAGCGGUGAAAUGCGUAGAUAUCGAGAGGAACACCUGCGGCGAAGGCGGGUUGCUGGGCUGACACUGACGCUGAUGCGCGAAAGCUAGGGGAGCGAACGGGAUUAGAUACCCCGGUAGUCCUAGCCUUAAACGAUGAAUGCUUGGUGUCUGGGGUUUUAUAGUCCCCGGGUGCCGUCGCUAACGCUUUAAGCAUUCCGCCUGGGGAGUACGGUCGCAAGGCUGAAACUUAAAGGAAUUGACG